AACCAAGACCAAAUCUACACGGUUCAUAGUAAAGCUUACAGCGGAAUCCAAAACCAUGCAAGUAGGAAUACAAGCAUUUUUUAAUGUUCUCGUCAUUAGACAGCCUGAGCCGCUAGGUCUUGAUUCUGUGACAAAAACUUUGAAACGAACGUGACGCUUGGCAGCAGCCAAAAGAACAGCCGCAACACCGCGUGAAAACCCAUGGGUAAGAAUAACACUACCAUCUCGAAUAAGAGGGUAACCUAAAUGUGCAAUUCUUUGUCGACAAGCACGAGCACGCUGAAUAAAGAGUUUUCCAUUUUCUACCAAGUGACGUUUGCAUUGCUCAAAAUCCUAAAGCCGUGGAGAAUUAGUAAAGAAAAGAAAACUACUUUGCAUCAACACAUACCCCGACAUCGUGUAGUGAUCGAGUGACAAACCGUUGGAAAAUGUCACAACCAGCUGAAAGCGAAAUGUUGUUUUGAACGCCUUCCUUCAGCGUAUUUGAGCCAUUUUGUAAAAUGUCCAUAAAUUCUGAAAUUGUCUUGGCUAAUAGAAAAACAUCAGUAAAUUCAUUUCUCACAUGAGUACUACAAAUUAACAUACCUUGAGAGCGCGACAAAAGCUGGACUAAAGCCUCAAUGGCGGCUACAGGCAUCGUGAUUUCUGGAUCAUCUUGCAAAAAUUUUUUGUAAACCUGGACGAUGUCAAAUUCUCCUUGAGAAUGUCGAACGAUUCCCGAAGAAUCCGAUUCCACCAUAUUCGCAGAUGCUAGACGCUCUUGCUUAGUAGCAACAUCUUUUCCAUACUUUAAGGAUAUCCAACAAAAUCAAAUAACGGGCAAUGCCUUUUUGUAUUAAAUUGUAAGCUACGCAAUUUGGUAUCUGAUUUAAGGAUACGUAGAACUGCGGUGAGUUUUCCUUGUGAUCUAUUAUAUUACAAU
Molecule: non-coding RNA, 922 nt
Organism: Schizosaccharomyces pombe (fission yeast)
Lineage: Eukaryota; Fungi; Ascomycota; Schizosaccharomycetes; Schizosaccharomycetales; Schizosaccharomycetaceae
Source: the annotation of a GenBank genome assembly